Homo sapiens (human) is the source of this 672-nucleotide long non-coding RNA. RefSeq lists it as uncharacterized. The record is from RefSeq and is a predicted model, not a curated record. NCBI's taxonomy places the organism in Eukaryota, Metazoa, Chordata, Mammalia, Primates, Hominidae. The transcript has 2 exons.
UCUUCCUGUGUAGUUUUACCCCCUGAUCCUCUGGUCACCCACCUGAUGGGUCCCUGUGGUGCCAGGCAGGAAUGGCCUGCCAGGGGACCCAGCGAGCUCCCAGGGCCUUUCUGCUGCUUCCUCUACCCCUUUAUUUCACUUGGCUUUCUAAAUUGGCUCAGCUCCAGACAUUGAAGAAGUAAUAGUUGUUAUCUUCAAAUCUUACCCUAUGGAACUAGGAUGCACUGAAAGAGGAACAAAGCAGACACACAUCGCCUUGGCGUGUUAAUGAGGUGUCAAUACAGCUCUUUGCCAAGAAUAACUCCUGACUUAAGAUGAUGCUUGAAAUCUUCCUGUGAGUCACUAUUCUGGGUACCUUGAAGACAGUUGUUAAAAACCAAAUAUGUUCUUACAAAUUGGUGAUAUAUUAAUUCAUUGUCAUACGUUAAUGCAUGUUUUGUAUAAAUUUAUGGGAUACAAAUGCAAUUUUGUACAUGCAUAGAUUGUGUAGUGGUCAACUCAAAGGUUUGUAUAGCAUCCAUCACCUGAAUAACAUAUAUUUACUCAUUAAGUAAUUUCUCAUUUUCUACCCUCCUUUUCACACCCCCAUAUGCUAAUACCUCAAAAAAAGAAUUAAGGACUUGAAUUUGGUAAGUUGGAUUGAGAAAAAUAAAAAUAGUGUGUCAUUUCAAA